UACGUAGGGCGCAAGCGUUGUCCGGAAUUAUUGGGCGUAAAGAGCUCGUAGGCGGCUUGUCGCGUCGGAUGUGAAAGCCCGGGGCUUAACCCCGGGUCUGCAUUCGAUACGGGCAGGCUGGAGUGUGGUAGGGGAGAUCGGAAUUCCUGGUGUAGCGGUGAAAUGCGCAGAUAUCAGGAGGAACACCGGUGGCGAAGGCGGAUCUCUGGGACGGUACUGACGCUGAGACGCGAAAGCGUGGGGAGCGAACAGG
RNAcentral lists this ribosomal RNA (253 nucleotides) under uncultured bacterium. Its description in RNAcentral is "partial 16S ribosomal RNA". It matches the Rfam family "Bacterial small subunit ribosomal RNA", at positions 524 to 776 of the family's 1533-position model. The record is from RNAcentral.